RNAcentral lists this ribosomal RNA (806 nucleotides) under Clavibacter michiganensis subsp. michiganensis. RNAcentral's name for it is "bacterial SSU rRNA". It matches the Rfam family "Bacterial small subunit ribosomal RNA", at positions 414 to 1233 of the family's 1533-position model. Lineage: Bacteria; Bacillati; Actinomycetota; Actinomycetes; Micrococcales; Microbacteriaceae. The record is from RNAcentral.
GCCUUCGGGUUGUAAACCUCUUUUAGUAGGGAAGAAGCGAAAGUGACGGUACCUGCAGAAAAAGCACCGGCUAACUACGUGCCAGCAGCCGCGGUAAUACGUAGGGUGCAAGCGUUGUCCGGAAUUAUUGGGCGUAAAGAGCUCGUAGGCGGUUUGUCGCGUCUGCUGUGAAAUCCCGAGGCUCAACCUCGGGUCUGCAGUGGGUACGGGCAGACUAGAGUGCGGUAGGGGAGAUUGGAAUUCCUGGUGUAGCGGUGGAAUGCGCAGAUAUCAGGAGGAACACCGAUGGCGAAGGCAGAUCUCUGGGCCGUAACUGACGCUGAGGAGCGAAAGCAUGGGGAGCGAACAGGAUUAGAUACCCUGGUAGUCCAUGCCGUAAACGUUGGGAACUAGAUGUGGGGACCAUUCCACGGUCUCCGUGUCGCAGCUAACGCAUUAAGUUCCCCGCCUGGGGAGUACGGCCGCAAGGCUAAAACUCAAAGGAAUUGACGGGGGCCCGCACAAGCGGCGGAGCAUGCGGAUUAAUUCGAUGCAACGCGAAGAACCUUACCAAGGCUUGACAUAUACCGGAAACAUGCAGAAAUGUGUGCCCCGCAAGGUCGGUAUACAGGUGGUGCAUGGUUGUCGUCAGCUCGUGUCGUGAGAUGUUGGGUUAAGUCCCGCAACGAGCGCAACCCUCGUUCUAUGUUGCCAGCACGUAAUGGUGGGAACUCAUAGGAGACUGCCGGGGUCAACUCGGAGGAAGGUGGGGAUGACGUCAAAUCAUCAUGCCCCUUAUGUCUUGGGCUUCACGCAUGCUACAAUGG